UAGAAGGUGAUAUAUUUGGAAGUACUGAAAGCUUUGGGCUUUCUGGUUCAAGUUCGACUCUUCAUUUUCUAG
This 72-nucleotide transfer RNA is filed under the name Python molurus molurus. RNAcentral describes it as "tRNA-Gln". Lineage: Eukaryota; Metazoa; Chordata; Lepidosauria; Squamata; Pythonidae. The record is from RNAcentral.